Molecule: ribosomal RNA, 163 nt
Filed under: Lysimachia thyrsiflora
Lineage: Eukaryota; Viridiplantae; Streptophyta; Magnoliopsida; Ericales; Primulaceae
Description: 5.8S ribosomal RNA
Rfam family: 5.8S ribosomal RNA
About the family: 5.8S ribosomal RNA (5.8S rRNA) is a component of the large subunit of the eukaryotic ribosome.
Source: RNAcentral
AAAACGACUCUCGGCAACGGAUAUCUAGGCUCUCGCAUCGAUGAAGAACGUAGCAAAAUGCGAUACUUGGUGUGAAUUGCAGAAUCCCGUGAACCAUCGAGUUUUUGAACGCAAGUUGCGCCCGAAGCCAUUAGGCCAAGGGCACGUCUGCCUGGGCGUCACA